RNAcentral lists this ribosomal RNA (253 nucleotides) under uncultured bacterium. Its description in RNAcentral is "partial 16S ribosomal RNA". It matches the Rfam family "Bacterial small subunit ribosomal RNA", at positions 524 to 776 of the family's 1533-position model. The record is from RNAcentral.
UACAGGGGGUGCAAGCGUUGUUCGGAAUUAUUGGGCGUAAAGCGCGUGUAGGCGGAUCGUUAAGUCUGGUGUGAAAUCCCUCGGCUCAACUGAGGACGUGCAUUGGAUACUGGCGACCUUGAGUCCUGGAGAGGGUAGCGGAAUUCCCAGUGUAGAGGUGAAAUUCGUAGAUAUUGGGAGGAACACCGGUGGCGAAGGCGGCGACCUGGGUAGAUACUGACGCUGAGGCGCGAAAGCGUGGGGAGCAAACAGG